Molecule: ribosomal RNA, 395 nt
Filed under: uncultured bacterium
Lineage: Bacteria
Description: bacterial SSU rRNA
Rfam family: Bacterial small subunit ribosomal RNA
Source: RNAcentral
GACGAACGCUGGCGGCGUGCUUAACACAUGCAAGUCGAGCGGUAAGGCUCCUUCGGGAGUACACGAGCGGCGAACGGGUGAGUAACACGUGAGCAAUCUGCCCUUCACUUCGGGAUAACUCCGGGAAACCGGUGCUAAUACCGAAUACGACCACUUCAGGCAUCUGAUGGUGGUGGAAAGUUCCGGCGGUGAAGGAUGAGCUCGCGGCCUAUCAGCUUGUUGGUGAGGAAUGGCCCACCAAGGCAACGACGGGUAGCCGGCCUGAGAGGGUGACCGGCCACACUGGGACUGAGACACGGCCCAGACUCCUACGGGAGGCAGCAGUGGGGAAUAUUGGACAAUGGGCGAAAGCCUGAUCCAGCAACGCCGCGUGAGGGAUGACGGCCUGGUGUAAC